Molecule: unclassified non-coding RNA, 395 nt
Filed under: soil metagenome
Description: partial contains 5.8S ribosomal RNA, internal transcribed spacer 2, and large subunit ribosomal RNA
Rfam family: 5.8S ribosomal RNA (bases 1-122)
Source: RNAcentral
GAUGAAGAACGUAGCGAAAUGCGAUACUUGGUGUGAAUUGCAGAAUCCCGUGAACCAUCGAGUCUUUGAACGCAAGUUGCGCCCGAAGCCAUCAGGUUGAGGGCACGUCUGCCUGGGCGUCACAUAUCGUUGCCCAAUGCCUAUUGCAGUGCAAUAGGAAUUUCUAGGGCGAAUGAUGGCUUCCCGUGAGCGUUGUUGCCUCGCGGUUGGUUGAAAAUCGAGUCCUUGGUAGGGUGUGCCAUGGUAGAUGGUGGUCGAGUUAGAACGAUACCGAUCAUGUGCAUGCUCCCCAAAAUAUGGCCUCUAUGACCCACACGCGUCUUUUGACGCUCAUGACGAGACCUCAGGUCAGGCGGGACUACCCGCUGAAUUUAAGCAUAUCAAUAAGCGGAGGA